Molecule: ribosomal RNA, 246 nt
Filed under: uncultured bacterium
Lineage: Bacteria
Description: partial 16S ribosomal RNA
Rfam family: Bacterial small subunit ribosomal RNA
Source: RNAcentral
GGUGCAAGCGUUAUCCGGAUUUACUGGGCUUAAAGGGUGCGUAGGUGGGUCUGUAAGUCAGUGGUGAAAUCUUCAAGCUUAACUUGGAAACUGCCAUUGAUACUAUAGGUCUUGAAUUAUCUGGAGGUAAGCGGAAUAUGUCAUGUAGCGGUGAAAUGCUUAGAGAUGACAUAGAAUACCUAUUGCGAAGGCAGCUUACUACGCAGAUAUUGACGCUGAGGCACGAAAGCGUGGGGAGCAAACAGG